GACGAACGCUGGCGGCGUGCUUAACACAUGCAAGUCGAGCGGUAAGGCCCUUCGGGGUACACGAGCGGCGAACGGGUGAGUAACACGUGAGCAAUCUGCCCUUCACUCAGGGAUAACCACCGGAAACGGUGGCUAAUACCUGAUAUGACCACUUCACGCAUGUGAUGGUGGUGGAAAGUUCUGGCGGUGGAGGAUGAGCUCGCGGCCUAUCAGCUUGUUGGUGGGGUAAUGGCCUACCAAGGCAACGACGGGUAGCCGGCCUGAGAGGGUGACCGGCCACACUGGGACUGAGACACGGCCCAGACUCCUACGGGAGGCAGCAGUGGGGAAUAUUGGACAAUGGGCGAAAGCCUGAUCCAGCAACGCCGCGUGAGGGAUGACGGCCUUCGGGUUGUAAACCUCUUUCAGUACCGACGAAGCGCAAGUGACGGUAGGUACAGAAGAAGCACCGGCCAACUACGUGCCAGCCGCCGCGGUAACAC
RNAcentral lists this ribosomal RNA (482 nucleotides) under uncultured bacterium. Its description in RNAcentral is "bacterial SSU rRNA". It matches the Rfam family "Bacterial small subunit ribosomal RNA", at positions 28 to 526 of the family's 1533-position model. The record is from RNAcentral.